UAGGGAAUCUUCCGCAAUGGACGAAAGUCUGACGGAGCAACGCCGCGUGAGUGAAGAAGGAUUUCGGUUCGUAAAACUCUGUUGUUAGGGAAGAAAAAAUGUAUAGUAACUAUAUACAAAAGAGACGGUACCUAACCAGAAAGCCCCGGCUAACUACGUGCCAGCAGCCGCGGUAAUACGUAGGGGGCUAGCGUUGUCCGGAAUCACUGGGCGUAAAGGGUUCGCAGGCGGAAAUGCAAGUCAGGUGUAAAAGGCAGUAGCUUAAUUACUGUAAGCAUUUGAAACUGCAUAUCUUGAGAAGAGUAGAGGUAAGUGGAAUUUUUAGUGUAGCGGUGAAAUGAGUAGAUAUUAAAAAGAAUACCGGUGGCGAAGGCGACUUACUGGGCUCAUUCUGACGCUGAGGAACGAAAGCGUGGGUAGCAAACAGG
RNAcentral lists this ribosomal RNA (428 nucleotides) under Verrucomicrobiota bacterium. Its description in RNAcentral is "Verrucomicrobia bacterium partial 16S ribosomal RNA". It matches the Rfam family "Bacterial small subunit ribosomal RNA", at positions 355 to 776 of the family's 1533-position model. Lineage: Bacteria; Pseudomonadati; Verrucomicrobiota. The record is from RNAcentral.